CCGAUCCGUAACUUGGUCUGAGAGGAUGAUCCAGUCACACUGGAACUUGAGACACGGUCCAGACUCCUACGGGAGGCAGCAGUGGGGAAUAUUGGACAAUGGGCGAAAGCCUGAUCCAGCCAUGCCGCGUGUGUGAAGAAGGUCUUCGGAUUGUAAAGCACUUUAAGUUGGGAGGAAGGGCAGUUACCUAAUACGUAAUUGUUUUGACGUUACCGACAGAAUAAGCACCGGCUAACUCUGUGCCAGCAGCCGCGGUAAUACAGAGGGUGCAAGCGUUAAUCGGAAUUACUGGGCGUAAAGCGCGCGUAGGUGGUUUGUUAAGUUGAAUGUGAAAUCCCCGGGCUCAACCUGGGAACUGCAUCCAAAACUGGCAAGCUAGAGUAUGGUAGAGGGUGGUGGAAUUUCCUGUGUAGCGGUGAAAUGCGUAG
Molecule: ribosomal RNA, 428 nt
Filed under: Pseudomonas sp. Z45
Lineage: Bacteria; Pseudomonadati; Pseudomonadota; Gammaproteobacteria; Pseudomonadales; Pseudomonadaceae
Description: bacterial SSU rRNA
Rfam family: Bacterial small subunit ribosomal RNA
Source: RNAcentral